UCUUAUUUUUUCAUGAUAAAUCAAUUCUCCAACUGAUUUUCUAUGAUGAGAAAACUCCUCAAAAUAUUGCACAAAUAAAGAGACUAAAAUAAGCUGGUAGCAAGAUUUUAUAGAUAAUGUCAAAUAUUAUCUAUAUGGUAUCCAAUUCAAAUCACAUUUGAACCUUUCAUACAAAACCAGAUAUUACCCAUAUUUGGACA
This 200-nucleotide long non-coding RNA is filed under the name Elaeis guineensis (African oil palm). RNAcentral's name for it is "long non-coding RNA (EGUI_LNC008491)". The record is from RNAcentral. Lineage: Eukaryota; Viridiplantae; Streptophyta; Magnoliopsida; Arecales; Arecaceae.